GUCCACACGACGGCGAGUAGUACUACUAGUGUACGCGGAAAAUGAUUUGACUGUUCUCUAUUCCCUCGCCCUCUCUUCUCCCAGACGGCCAGACGACGCCACCGUCACGCCCCACCACCACCAACCUAUCCCCCACCGCGUCACGCGCCUCCACCUCCCCAGAUCGGCGGCGAACCGGGGGGCCCGGACAGGCGGCGGAGAGCUCGAGGCGUCAUGGCGAAGUCGAGCGCGGACGACGCCGAGCUGCGGCGCGCGUGCGCCGCGGCCGUGGCGGCGUCAGGCGCGCGCGGGGAGGAGGUGGCCUUCUCCAUCCGCGUCGCCAAGGGCCGCGGCAUCUUCGAGAAGCUCGGCAGGCUCGCCAAGCCCCGUGUCCUCGCUCUCACCGUUAAACAAUCAUCAAGAGGCGAGGCGAACAAAGCUUUUCUUCGAGUAUUAAAAUAUUCAUCUGGGGCAGUGCUCGAGCCAGCCAAACUUUACAAGCUGAAACAUCUAACAAAGGUUGAGGUUAUUUCCAAUGAUCCCAGUGGUUGUACAUUUGUUCUGGGAUUUGAUAACCUUAGGAGUCAGAGUGUUGCCCCACCACAAUGGACGAUGCGUAACAUUGAUGACAGAAAUCGUCUACUUUUUUGUAUUCUGAAUAUGUGCAAGGAGAUACUCAGUUAUCUUCCAAAAGUUGUUGGAAUUGAUAUUGUGGAGCUAGCUCUUUGGGCAAAGGAAAACACACUGACCAUAGAUAAUCAAGUGAGUACCCAAGAUGGUCAAGAAACAUCAGUUGCUACUCAAACCGAGAGGAAAGUAACAGUAACUGUUGAAAAUGAUCUCGUGUCCCAAGCAAAAGAGGAGGAAGAAGACAUGGAGGCACUUCUUGACACGUAUGUUAUGGGAAUAGGUGAAGCAGAUGCAUUCUCUGAGAGAUUGAAGCAGGAGCUUGUGGCUUUGGAGGCUGCAAAUGUAUAUCAAUUACUGGAAAGCGAGCCUUUAAUAGAAGAGGUCUUGCAGGGUCUGGAUGCUGCUAGUGCAACUGUAGAUGAUAUGGAUGAGUGGCUACGGAUUUUCAAUCUGAAGCUGAGGCACAUGAGAGAAGAUAUUGCAUCGAUUGAAUCACGUAACAAUGGCUUGGAGAUGCAGUCUGUAAAUAACAAAGGGCUUAUGGAAGAGCUAGAUAAAUUGCUUGAGCGUCUGCGGAUUCCACAGGAGUUUGCAGCAUCAUUAACUGGAGGCUCAUUUGAAGAGUCACGGAUGCUGAAAAAUGUUGAGGCAUGUGAAUGGUUGACAGGGGCCAUUCGCAGUCUUGAAGUUCCUAAUUUGGACCCAUGCUAUGUCAACAUGCGCGCUGUUAGAGAGAAAAAGGCAGAGCUGGAGAAACUGAAAACAACUUUUGUUCGACGAGCAUCAGAGUUUUUGCGGAACUACUUCUCCAGUUUGGUAGACUUCAUGAUCAGUGACAAAAGCUACUUUUCACAGCGUGGACAAUUGAAGCGGCCUGAUCAUGCAGACCUUAGGUAUAAAUGCAGGACAUAUGCCCGACUUCUGCAGCACUUAAAGAGUCUGGACAAGAGCUGCUUAGGUCCCUUAAGGAAGGCAUACUGUCAUUCCCUUAAUUUACUACUACGACGAGAGGCACGCGAAUUUGCCAAUGAACUUCGUGCAAGUACAAAAGCACCGAAGAAUCCUGCUGUUUGGCUUGAAGGUUCUGGCGGCUCUGGUCAUAAUGGAAGCAGUUCUGAUACUUCACAGGUCUCAGAUGCAUACUCAAAGAUGCUUACAAUAUUUAUCCCGCUUCUUGUGGACGAGAGUUCCUUUUUUGCACAUUUUAUGUGCUUUGAAGUACCUGCACUUGUUCCAGCUGGUUCUCCUAAUGCUAAUAAGAGCAAAUCCGGAGGAAAUGACCCGGAUGAUGAUCUGGGUCUUAUGGAUCCAGAUGGCAACGAUCUGAAACCUGACAGUACCUCUGCUGAACUGGGUACAUUGAAUGAAGCUCUUCAAGAAUUACUCGAUGGAAUCCAGGAAGACUUCUAUGCGGUCGUAGAUUGGGCUUAUAAAAUUGACCCCUUGCGUUGCAUCUCAAUGCAUGGGAUUACAGAGCGUUACCUUUCUGGACAGAAAGCUGAUGCUGCAGGAUUUGUUCGCAAACUACUUGAUGACUUGGAAUCAAGAAUAUCAGUACAGUUCAGCCGGUUUAUUGAUGAAGCAUGCCAUCAAAUUGAGCGUAACGAAAGAAAUGUGCGGCAAACUGGAAUUCUAGCCUACAUUCCAAGAUUUGCUGUCCUUGCAUCACGUAUGGAACAAUAUAUCCAAGGACAAUCCAGGGAUUUAAUUGAUAAAGCAUACACAAAGCUAGUUAGCACAAUGUUCGCAACUUUGGAGAAAAUUGCACAGAGUGAUCCUAAAACUGCUGAUAUUGUGUUGAUUGAGAAUUAUGCUGCUUUCCAGAACAGUCUUUAUGACUUGGCUAAUGUUGUGCCAACGCUUGCAAAGUUCUACCAUCAAGCCAGUGAAUCAUAUGAACUAGCUUGCACUCGCCAUAUCAGCUCACUCAUUUAUCUGCAAUUUGAGAGGUUAUUUCAAUUCAACCGGAAAGUUGACGAAUUGACUUACACUAUUGCUGCUGAGGAGAUACCGUUUCAGCUGGGAUUAUCAAAAACUGACCUAAGGAGGGUACUGAAAUCCAGCUUAUCUGGGAGGCUCGUUCAUCCCACGGUGUCACCAUGAGAACUGACACAGUGUAAAACUGUGCAGAUUGAUAAGUCAAUUAGCGCCAUGUACAGGAGGUUGCAAAAGACACUGACCUCCGACGAGUUGUUUCCUUCGCUGUGGGACAAGUGCAAGAAGGAGUUUUUGGACAAAUACGAGAGCUUUGUUCAGAUGGUAACACGGAUAUAUGGGAAUGAGCCGAUCAUGUCAGUCAACGAAAUGAAAGACGUCCUUGCUGGUUUUUAGAUACAAGUACACAGCACCAUGUAUGAUUUCAGAGAAAUAGCUAUGUAUUCCAUUCAUUCCAUUGAAUUCUGCACCCACUUGCGUUACUGUGUUAGGCGCCCUUUUUGGGUUAUGUGUGUGUAUGUGGAUGUCCUCUGUAUAGAAGUGAACGCGGCAUGCUUCCCCUAAUGAUGUUCCUGUGUCGCAUCGAGCCGUCAGUGACAAUGCAAACUGCAAACCCGGAGUACCGGAAGGAACAUGUUCAUGUUUAUGACGUCAUUUGUCCAAUUGCCGUUCCAUUCA
Molecule: RNA transcript, 3222 nt
Organism: Zea mays
Lineage: Eukaryota; Viridiplantae; Streptophyta; Magnoliopsida; Poales; Poaceae
Gene name: exocyst complex component SEC3A
Exons: 25
Source: RefSeq, a predicted model, not a curated record